RNAcentral lists this ribosomal RNA (504 nucleotides) under uncultured bacterium. RNAcentral describes it as "partial 16S ribosomal RNA". It matches the Rfam family "Bacterial small subunit ribosomal RNA", at positions 899 to 1397 of the family's 1533-position model. The record is from RNAcentral.
ACUCAAAGGAAUUGACGGGGGCUCACACAAGCGGUGGAGCAUGUGGCUUAAUUCGAGGCAACGCGAAGAACCUUAUCCUGGGCUUGACAUGCAUGGAUAUCUUACCUGAAAGGGAUAAGAUUGCCUUCGGGUGAAACAUGCACAGGUGCUGCAUGGCUGUCGUCAGCUCGUGUCGUGAGAUGUCGGGUUAAGUCCUUCAACGAGCGAAACCCCUGUCCUUAGUUGCCAGCAUUCAGUUGGGGACUCUAAGGAGACCGCCGGUGUUAAACCGGAGGAAGGCGGGGACGACGUCAAGUCAUCACGGCCUUUAUGCCCAGGGCUGCACACGUGCUACAAUGGGGCGCACAAAGGGACGCCAACGCGCGAGCGGGAGCAAAUCUCAAAAAACGCCCCCCAGUUCAGAUCGCAGGCUGCAAUUCGCCUGCGUGAAGCCGGAAUCGCUAGUAAUCGCAGAUCAGCUAUGCUGCGGUGAAUGUGUUCCUGAGCCUUGCACACACCGCCCGU